GCAUCCUGGCCCCUCUCUCCUGAUUGCACCGCCCACUCUCCCUCCCAUCUCCUCUCCUCAGCUUUAUGCGGACUGCAGCGAUGCAUUGUGGGAAACUCCCAAGGUGGUUUUUUUUUUUUUGCCUCUUCCGUCCUCCCUCCCUCCUCUCUGCAGAACAUCCAGCUUCCAAGGUGUGACUUGUGCGAACAACAGUCUGGGGAGAGAAGGCUGUGACCAGAGGUGCAGGGCCCAUCCAGUUCCUCCAGUGUCCCGGGUAAAUAAACGGAGAUCCCAGAGAGUGAAGCCUUCAAGGUGAGAUGGUUCCGUGUCAUGUCCUGGUGAAAUAUUGGCAGAGUGAGAAGGUUGCUGGGACGACGGCUACCAGGGGAUCCAUUUGAGGUCGAUCCAUCAGCCUGCCUACACCAGGUGAAAGCAACGUGGGUACAUAUAGCUGGUAGUAAUAUCCUGAGAGCCGGCCCUGUGAAGGUCAGGUCACCCCCCACCCCCCGACUGCACUCAUAGGGAUGGAAUCUAAAGGAAGCACCCGAAGCGGAAGCAAACCUGAUGCCAAGGCCGCCAGCUCAGGAAAGCCAGAGAAGCCCAACUCUGGGCCUGCUAUGAACGCAGACAAGAAGGAAACCCCCUCCAAAGAGCAGCCCGCCCCUGUGGCCACAACGAAGAAGGCAGCCAGCGAGGCAGCUGCACUGAAUAACCACAGCAAUCUGAAACCCAGCCCUGCGGCCCCGGAGGUGCAGGAGGCCACCGGCCAGUCCCCUGACUCUGAGCACAAGGGAAACGGCGCAGAGGAAUCCUCAGGCAGUGUCUUCGACAACGUGAAGCCACUGGCCAUUGUUGGAGGUGUGGUGGUGGCUGCCAUUGCUAUAAUUCUGGGAGUGGCAUUCCUAGCCCGGAAAAAAUGAAGACCGAGAAAGGGUUGGGGGAGAGAAAUAUAAUCAACUGUACAGUUCCUUUUGAAACACAUGCAUGCAGUAAAUUCUAUACAUAUCUAUACAUAUAUAGAGAGAGCGCUAGAUAGGGUAACUACAGCACCAACAACUACUCCAAAAGUCUUGUUCCAAAGGAGCUGUGCCAGUUUGACCAGUAUGGGUACUCCGUGCACUCAAUAUGCGCUUUCAUGUAAUAUAACUUGGCUUGUACAACCAUGUAUAGAUUACAGCUUCUCCUGAUCAGUGUAAAUGCCAGUGUCCCCUCCCCCACGCUCCCCUCCCCACUUUCCCAUAGUCCCAGCAUUUCCAAGCAGAGGUGUUCUACAUCCCAUCCUGAGACCCUGCUCUAUUUAUUUUGAUUUUUUUAAAUUGGGUUGUGGUAGAGAAGAGGAAAGGGAGAAAAGGAACAGUACUAAGACCCAGUUCAUCAAUUAUUGUGGUUUAUUAUUAAUAUCAUACCCCAGCUUGUGCUGGGCGCUUUGCAGACAUGUAAGAUGGCAGCUCCGAGCUUCUGGCCUAAUAUGUACAUUAUGUUCCUAAUGCUUAUCACCCAACCUUUAAAAGCAAACAGACAAGACAGGAGUAACCCAUAGCCGGAGGUGAGCUGACUGUGUGAUAUAGAAGAGUGUGGAUCAUAUGGCAUUCUGUCUGAGAUGCAAACCAGUAGCUACAGUGAAGCUCAAGGGGCAAAUAUGUCUCACUGAGCUCUACAGUGCAGUUUGCAGCCCAUGGAGACAACAUACAAGGCUUGGAGUCCCAUCCCAUCUUUAGUCAUGCAGAGGACAGUUUCAAUCUGCUCCACUUUAUGUAUAUUGGGGGCAGCCCCAGGCACCCAGCCAUUUGCCAAUGCAGAUAAGGCCAUUGGGACAGAGUUUGGGCAUUCCUGCCCUAGAGGGUGAGAGACUGUUUUGGACAUAAUACAGUAUUUGAUAAACUUAAACUGGCCUCAGCAGAGCACUUAGGGCUCAAUCCAAACUGCACUGAUGUCCGCUGGAGGUUUUCCAUUGACUUCAGUGGGCUUUGGCUCAGGCCCUUAAUCCUGGUGCUUUUCCAUAAAAGGUUGAUCUCUCCUUGCGUGCGGCAAAGGUAGAAGAAAAGGCAGGCAAGAACUGGGCUUUAAGGGCAAGUAGCACAUGGAGCACUAUGGGAAUGAUAUACAUGAUCCCCUUUAUGCUGGGAAAACCAUGUGCAAAAGUGAUAAAAACAGAUUGUGCUUGGAGAGAUCUUCUACCGCCUGAUUUGAGUCUACCAGGAAAAUGUGAAAUGCCCAUGUCUUGAAAGUGGAAACAAUUUCCCAAAGCUUGGAAAGAGCCUGGUUUCUUUGCUGGGGCGGAGGGGAAGGAGGUGAGAUCUAAAACCAGACCGUGGGUAGGAAGGGAGAAGUAAGGGAGGGGAUAGAUGGAGGCUCCAUUUACUACAUUCACUGAAGCCUUUCCCAUGACACUGAGAAGAUGGGACACCCAACUCUUCUGAGGAUGAGUGACCUUUCCAGACUCAGAACUUGCAUUACGACCCCUAUUUGCUGCUGCUGCUAUCGUAUGGAAAGGAUUCUUUAUCCAAUGUUUUGUUUUAAACAGAGCCAGAAUUGAAACAGAAUAACCCAGAGUCAUUGGAACUCAGCAGUAGUGCUUGCUAACUGGUGAGCGAUACACAGGAGUGUCACAGUUUUGCAGCGAUGAUUGGCAAAGAUACUUUUCAAAAGCCAGAGAAACCGGUCCAAAUUCAGAGGAAAUGUAGAAGCGGGGUGUAAGUUACAUGUCUGGAAGGGAGCCUGAGCACCUGGGCAUAUAAACCAGUAUAAGGGCUAGAUGAAGCAUCAAUUAUGCCAAGUCUCUUAGUUUCUUACACCAGAUAUCUUGCAUCUUCCACUGACACAUCUAGUAUUGGCCACUGUUGGUUGAUAGGAUACUGGACUGAAUGGACCACAUAUCUGAUCCAGUCUGGCAAUUCCUAGAUGUCUAACUCAGAGUCCUUUAAGAAUUUGUCCUACUGAGUGCAUGUGGCUCAACAGAAUAUUUGGGCACAGCUUAUUGACAAAUUCCCUUCUAUUCCUGCAGUUAGAUUUUUCACCAUCUUUUCUAUGAGGCUCUUAAAAUAUUCCCAGACGUAUGUGGCCUCUUUGGGUAUAAAAUUUUAUCUCCUGGUUUCCAAAUUAUUAUGUGCUUCCGAGUUUUAACCUGCAUAUGUUCUUUUCCAUUGCACAGACUGAUGCAAUCUGAUCAGGUUUGCCCCAUUGUUGAAACAAGUGCUAACAACCACCAUGCUUAAACUCGAUAGGUGCUAGCACUGUUUCACCUGUAUUGUGGACAGGAUUUAUAACUCCACCUUGUAAUACACUCCCUCCUGUACUGAGAAGGCUAUGGGAAAACCUUAGUAAGAAUAGGUUAGCUACAUCAUGGGGGAUUCCUUGUUAUUAUCUACCCAGAAGGCUGUUUGGCUGCUUGUUUCUUUAAUAACCUUUCCUUGUUGGGGAGCUAAUGUGUCCCCAUGAUGUUUUGCAGAUGAUGAAAUGUUAAUUUAUAAUUGUAAGCUGGGGUGAGGAUAGGGUGAAAAGAGGGAAGUGCAAAGUAUUGACCCCUGAGAUGGAGAAGAAAUCAUAACUGUCUAGCCUGUCUGCUGCCAAGGCAGGGUCAGUGACUCCUAGAACUUAUGAAGCAGAGAUUUGAUUUCUAGUUUCAAGUGUAAGUUACUUCAAGAGAUGCUUCUUAUUUGUUGCCCUCCCAUUUAGUUCUGGCAGAUGUGUUUUCCAGUGGAGAGUGUGAUAAAAAUCACAGAUCUAGCUCCUUUCUGUUCUGAACUAACCAGGGUAGACAGAAAUUCAAGGAGGAAAAGGAAACAUUGGAUGCUUCACAGGAGCCCUCCUCUCUUUCUCUUUUUAAAAGUAUUUUAACUUGAUUGCAUUCAUCUUUGGAAAACUGAGAAAAAAAGUUCUGAGCUGGGAGGGGCCUAACUGCAAAACUUUCAUCCAGAUCUGAACUGUUCCCCAAAGCAAUAGGAUACGUGAUUUGGAUGCAGGGCCAUCUCUAGUUCUAAGCCAAUAAUUUCCUCCUGAAAUAGGCCAGGGAGGUUAUUGAGACACGGGAGACGGUGACGGUGGGAGGACUAGAACUCGUCAUCUUGAAAAAUAACCUUGCCCUCAAUCGUAUUUAUGGCCGUGAAGAAAUAGGUUAAGUCUCUAGGGGAAUCAUUCACUUACUGUAAUUGCUCGGUACUGUGGUCCACUGUCAUGACUCAUUCUCCAGAACCCAGCUCAUUUGCUGGUCUGAAAACAUCCAUUUUUGUGUGGAUGUGUACAAACCCACUGCCUGCUUGAAGAAUAUUACAUGUAUAUAUUACAGUUUACUGCAGUCUUUGUAAAGCUACACAACCCAUAUUUUUUGUAAAGAAAAAUAUUGAGACCACCCUUUAUUUGUGCACCUGCAUUCACACAAAGUGUCCAUGUUUUCGUUUUUGUACCAUUUGCAUUCUGCCCAAAGCAACAUUUUUGGUCACGGUUUCUUACCACUAAGAGAAUGUCUGGCUAGGAAACUCCUGAAUGUAUAGCGUCCCCAUUGUGCUACAAGCUAAUAAUUACUGUCUCCCCACCUUCCCCAAAUAGUCACGUGGGCUACUUUGCUUUUAAAAAGGUACUUCCUCUUUUAAAGUGUUUUGGAAUGUGUCGUGUUUGUUGUAGUGGAACUAGUGCUGGUUUGAGUCUGGUAUAUCACAAGGAGGUGCCAUGCAAGCUUCCUAAACACACAGGGUUUCGGUGCCUUCAGUCCUGACUUGCAACUACCCCUUUGAGCAGAUGCUGUCUGUUAUACCUUUGUGCUGCACUGCAUGGUGGUUUCCUGUUGAGCACAGAAGGCCAGUGAGAACUAGACUGAGAAGAGCAAAUGAUCUCUCUGUUGGAACCUACGACAGAUUGAAACCCCAUUUGUCAUGAGGCAAAAGGCUAAUGAAUGAACUUGCUGUGCUAAAUAAAUAGUUGUCCUGUUUUGCGGCAGCACUGAGCACAUGCCUUUAUUUGCUUGAUGUUUUGUGUUGUGUUUGCUGUAAUAUGAGGUCCUCUUAGUGACGUCUCCUCAAUGAGAAUGAAUUAAAGCUUGAAACGGGUAAGAUUCCGGCUUGGGGGUUUGUAGGGAUCUAGAUUGCUAGUUUACUCUUAUUGAUGCUGUUUAUAAAUUAGAAAUUUGAUAGAUUAACUAUACAAACACUGCAGUAGAAAAUGCAGCUUAUCUUUAAAACAACAGAUUCAAUUACUACAUUUGUUCUAUUUUGAAGAAGCCACCCCUCUCGACCUAAUGCAAGUUACAUGUCUGGAAGGGGUUUCCCCUGUCCCUAGCUCUGUAAAGCUGACAUUGGCCACCUUUCCUCUGGUGCGGCCUGAUCCAAAGCCCACUGAAGUCAAUGGAAAGACUUCUUUUGACUCCAAUGGGCUUUGGAUCAGGCCCAGGCCUCUUAAAUAGUUCUGCUGUGGGAUAGAAUCACAUCGGAGCAUGAGGGAUGCUCCAACAGCGUUUUCAGCAUGGUGAGAAUGUGUUCUGCCAGGUGCUUUCUAUCUUAUGUAGGCCCUGAUUCACCAAAAGCACUUAAGCACAUACUUAAAUUUAAGUAGACCCGCUGCCCUUCAAUGUUACAUGCCUAAGUGCUCUGCUGAAUCAGGGCUUUGGGGGCUGAUCCAAAAAACAUGAAGGGGAGUCUUUCCACUAAUUUCAAGAGGCUGUGGAUUAGGCCGUUAGAGCUAUUUUCCCAUUUUCUCUUCUUUCUUUAUUUGUAUUGUGGUAGUGCCUGGCAUGGACCCUCUGUGCUGGGUUAAUUUCGCUCACAGGGAAUGGGGAAAACAACCAUUAGGUUUGAUCUUAAAGGGUUCCACGUGUGGAGCUCUCACAUACUUCAGGUUCUAUCCUUUGAUCUCAUGGACUGCCAGGGAAACCAUAAGCAGAGACUAUGAAGAGUGUCCUUCUCACACGGUGCAUCCAUACCUACUGCUCCAUUUACAUCUAAUGAAUUACUCCUAGCCCCAAAAUAUAAUGUAUUUUAAAACAAUUCUUAAAUAAUUUAAGGACUUAGAUCAUCAAGAAAUGACUUUUCUUGGCCCAUUGAUUUUAAAAACUCUUCCAACCCAAUCUUGAUUUUAGUUUAAUCCUUCACCAAAGUCCAUCUGUUGCACAUACUGCUUAUUACUUUUAACAGCAUGUCCAAUUGUAUUAAGGACAUUGAGUGCAGGCUGAUAAACGUUAGCUAUUAUGUUUAGUUUGUGGCAGAUGAUGAGGUGAUACCUAAAUUAGACUAUCAAAUGACAUAAAUUAUAUUUAAUGUUCCUCUCCUCAGGCAAGACUGUCAUAGCCUUGAUCACACUCAGUAGCACCUUAUUUCCCAUUGACUUCAGAGGGACUAAUCAUGUAAGGUACUAUGUAGCCUAAAGAUAUUGUAAUCUGGCCCAUAGACAGGAGACCCACUGAAGGCCACAUGUGUCAUUCAGUCCAAUGUCUUCACAGGACCACUCACUAUGUCAUUCCAUAAUGAUGGUGCUUUGACCAUGUGCCAUUGAGACGAUCAUUUCAUUGCACAAUUUUCUCAUGCAGUUAAAAACUUUUCCUCAUUAGCUGCAGGUUUUUGCCCUUUUUCCAGCCAUCAUUGGAGAAUAAAUUCUGCAUUUCCAUUAACUGUUAGGUAUUCAUAGGCUAUGACCAAGUUCCCUCCAUCACUCCAAAACUCAUUUCUAGUUUAUAUGGGCCAGAUCCUCAGCUGGAAUAAAUUGGCAUAUCCCCAUUGACUUGAAUGGUGUUACACUGAUUUACGUCAGCUGAGAAUCUGAUCCGGGACAUUUGUUUCCUUACACUUAAUGGCUUAUCCUCCAAUUUUGGAGUAAUACUUGCUUCCCUUCUUUGCAUUUUAUUUAGCAUUCCUAUAAUCUUCCCAAGCAAUUUUCCAAGUGUGCUCUCGCCAGGGCUAUGCGGAAACCAGAUUUAUGUGACUGUCACAAAUGCAGGAGUAGAUUUUUAACAGUCCAAAGAAUAGCAAAAGUUAUGCCAUUUAAUAUAUAGAUGGCAUACUCAGGGGCUAUAUGUCACAGGCAGGGAAGGAGGUGCACAAGCUUUUAAUCUGCUAUAGUUACCCAAGUCACAAGUAAAUAUUAUGGCCCAAGUCUGCAAGGUGACGAGUUUCCUCAAUUUCCAUUGAAGUCAAUGGAAGUUGGGGACAUUCAGCACCUCACAGUAUUAGAACCUUAAUUUGCUAGUCUCAUUCUAGUCCUCAUUAUUGCACAUCAGUGACUCACUACAUGAUUGGCACUCUGUUCAAGGGAGGCCCCCAACUGAAGCACUCAGGAAUGAUUGCAGGUCAGGGUUGAGAUGCACUGGCAAAGCUGUGUGAGGGAAGCUACCACAGCAUUUGCAUGCACUCUGCAUGGCUCAAGCCAGUGCUAUUUAUCCUUCAGUUAUCUGAGUGCAGAGAUGAAAGAAAUUAAAUAUAUUUCGUUGGACAAAAGACUUGAGGCCUGAUUUUGAACUAGGUCCAUGGCAUGGAUCAUAGUGGGCCUUGGAAGUCUGCUAACGUGCAUGGCACAUGCUGUAUUUCCCCCGCCACAAAAGAACAGGUUUGAAGUCGGUGCAUCAGCUGGGCACAGAAAAGUUUGCAAGCUUUGUUUCCAUGUUGGUGGGCUGUUCAGAUUGUGUUGUCCCAUGGGGCUAGGUUAGUGUGAAGAUGCACUCAUCACAUGGCAAGUUCACAUUGCCUUGAAACAGCAGCUUUCCCAAUCAGAUGAAUCUCAGAGCAGGCAAACACUAUGGAAGACCACAGGUUACUGGUCUUAGCUAUUCACAGAUGUGGCUCUACCUUCCACUGCUGCAUUGCCCCCAUCUUAAAAUCUCCAUUUUGUGCAAACGCUGUCAGUGACUCACCUGAUAUGUAGUGAUGUGACCAAGUUUACCGCGAGCAGUGGGAGCAGAAUCUGCUGUUCUACACUACUUUUCACUGAUAAAAUAGAACUGGUUAGGAUCUACCACAUAUUCACAUGCCAUGCCUGUUCCUACUUCCCCCACGUGGACUAGCUCCUACCCUGGAGUCUGCAAUCUUCCCUGCAUAGCCAUCUUCCCAUUCCACCCCACCUUGGUUUUCACAGUUGGAUCUGGCCCACUUAGGGAUCUGGGCCAGGAUCCCAAGAAUCAAAGUUUCUGCCUUGAUCUGCCCUUGCACGUUGAUGCUACGGUGCAACAAUGCCCAGCAGUGAGAGGGAAACUUUCUGCCUAUCUUCAUCAAGCCCUGCAGUAUGUGCCAGACUCUAACGCUGUAGCUUCAAACAGUCCAAAGUUUCUAGGGCAAAUCAACAAGAACAAGGACAGCAUAUUUCCCCACCUCCUUUCUUUUUU
This is a long non-coding RNA of Chelonia mydas (Green sea turtle), 8278 nucleotides long. RefSeq lists it as uncharacterized. The transcript is spliced from 3 exons. The record is from RefSeq and is a predicted model, not a curated record. NCBI's taxonomy places the organism in Eukaryota, Metazoa, Chordata, Testudines, Cheloniidae.